RNAcentral lists this ribosomal RNA (466 nucleotides) under uncultured bacterium. RNAcentral's name for it is "bacterial SSU rRNA". It matches the Rfam family "Bacterial small subunit ribosomal RNA", at positions 338 to 795 of the family's 1533-position model. The record is from RNAcentral.
CCUANGGGGGGCAGCAGUGGGGAAUUGUUCGCAAUGGGCGAAAGCCUGACGACGCAACGCCGCGUGGAGGAUGAAGAAUUUCGGUUCGUAAACUCCUUUCGACCAAGAUGAAUACCCAUGGGUUUAAUACGCCUGUGGGCUGACAGUAUUGAGAGAAGAAGCCCCGGCUAACUCUGUGCCAGCAGCCGCGGUAAUACAGGGGGGGCAAGCGUUGUUCGGAAUUACUGGGCGUAAAGGGUUCGUAGGUGGCCAACUAAGUCAGACGUGAAAUCCCUCAGCUUAACUGGGGAACUGCGUCUGAUACUGGUUGGCUUGAGUGCAGGAGAGGAACGCAGAAUUCCAGGUGUAGCGGUGAAAUGCGUAGAUAUCUGGAGGAAUACCGGUGGCGAAGGCGGCGUUCUGGACUGUAACUGACACUGAGGAACGAAAGCCAGGGGAGCAAACGGGAUUAGAUACCCUANUANUC